GGAGAGGUGGCUGAGCGGUUGAAAGCACCGGUCUUGAAAACCGGCAGGGGUUCACGCCCCUCGUGGGUUCAAAUCCCACCCUCUCCGCCA
RNAcentral lists this transfer RNA (90 nucleotides) under Gammaproteobacteria bacterium. RNAcentral's name for it is "tRNA-Ser". It matches the Rfam family "tRNA". Rfam says of the family: Transfer RNA (tRNA) molecules are approximately 80 nucleotides in length. Their secondary structure includes four short double-helical elements and three loops (D, anti-codon, and T loops). Lineage: Bacteria; Pseudomonadati; Pseudomonadota; Gammaproteobacteria. The record is from RNAcentral.